This 450-nucleotide ribosomal RNA is filed under the name uncultured bacterium. Its description in RNAcentral is "partial 16S ribosomal RNA". It matches the Rfam family "Bacterial small subunit ribosomal RNA", at positions 354 to 796 of the family's 1533-position model. The record is from RNAcentral.
GUGGGGAAUUUUGGACAAUGGGCGCAAGCCUGAUCCAGCCAUGCCGCGUGAGUGAAGAAGGCCUUCGGGUUGUAAAGCUCUUUCGGCCGGGAAGAAAUCGGCGACUCUAACAUAGUCGCUGGAUGACGGUACCGGACUAAGAAGCACCGGCUAACUACGUGCCAGCAGCCGCGGUAAUACGUAGGGUGCGAGCGUUAAUCGGAAUUACUGGGCGUAAAGCGUGCGCAGGCGGUUUUGUAAGACAGAUGUGAAAUCCCCGGGCUUAACCUGGGAACUGCGUUUGUGACUGCAAGGCUAGAGUACGGCAGAGGGGGGUGGAAUUCCUGGUGUAGCAGUGAAAUGCGUAGAUAUCAGGAGGAACACCGAUGGCGAAGGCAGCCCCCUGGGCCUGUACUGACGCUCAUGCACGAAAGCGUGGGGAGCAAACAGGAUUAGAAACCCGUGUAGUCC